CCUUACGACCACACCGGUCUGAGUACGCCUGAUCUCGUCUGAUCUCGGAAGCUAAGCAGGGUCGGGCCUGGUUAGUACUUGGAUGGGAGACCGCCUGGGAAUACCAGGUGCUGUAAGCU
Oncorhynchus kisutch (coho salmon) is the source of this 119-nucleotide ribosomal RNA. Lineage: Eukaryota; Metazoa; Chordata; Actinopteri; Salmoniformes; Salmonidae. The record is from Ensembl.